RNAcentral lists this small nucleolar RNA (271 nucleotides) under Monopterus albus (swamp eel). RNAcentral describes it as "Small Cajal body specific RNA 6 (ENSMALG00000019948.1)". It matches the Rfam family "Small Cajal body specific RNA 6". Rfam says of the family: U88 is small Cajal body specific RNA (scaRNA). scaRNAs are a novel class of small nuclear RNAs which localise to the Cajal bodies. The record is from RNAcentral. Lineage: Eukaryota; Metazoa; Chordata; Actinopteri; Synbranchiformes; Synbranchidae.
GGUCAGUGAUGAACAGUAAAAGGUCUGAUUACCCACAGUCCUCUUCUGCUGGCCUCUGGCUCCCAGCAGCCCCUGCUCUCUGCUCCCAUCAUGCUCUAGUGGUGCCAUGAUGGUCCCAGGAGCUGCUGACAGACAGGAAUUAACAUCACAGUGUGGGUCUGUACAGAGGUCCUACAGGCUCAGUGUGAUUGACAUCCAACAAAACCAAUCAGUGGGGAGCGUCAGGCUGAAGAGGACGAGGGAGUUGAUCUCAAGUUUUCAAGCUGAGACC